Wyeomyia smithii (pitcher-plant mosquito) is the source of this 287-nucleotide long non-coding RNA. RefSeq lists it as uncharacterized. The record is from RefSeq and is a predicted model, not a curated record. The transcript is spliced from 2 exons. NCBI's taxonomy places the organism in Eukaryota, Metazoa, Arthropoda, Insecta, Diptera, Culicidae.
CCUGUUAAUUGUAGUGAUCGGAGCUCAAAUAUGUUCAAGCUGUUCUUUGCCGUGUGGCUCGCCUUGCUGAUCAACUGUGGUCAUUCCGUGUACAUCGGACGCCUCCCACCUGGAUAUUCCUGUGCUUCGAUAGAGUUUGUUUUCACAGAUGAGUGUAAUAAUAAGUGUUUUUGCGACCAUAACGAUGUCGUGCUAUGCGAUGGAGAACCGUGCUACGAAAGUUUUUAUCAAUAAAAAACGUUGUUAGUUUUUUCGGGAAAUAAAUAAAGUAGGAUAAAUCAGCAUUA